AAGUCGUAACAAGGUAACCGUAGGUGAACCUGCGGUUGGAUCAUUAAAAAAUCUAACUGAAUUAGUCUGCAAUUUUAUUGUAUGAUUAUUUCUUACACCUUUGUGAACUGUUUAUUGUCUCUGGUGAGUUAAAAAUGGAAUAGCUGUGCUUGCACGGUUGUUUCGCUCACCAGUUUAUCUUUAACACUUUGUAUUAUUUGACAUAAAAUUUAAAUAUAAUAAUUUAAAACAACUUUUGACAACGGAUCUCUUGGCUCUC
This 259-nucleotide unclassified non-coding RNA is filed under the name fungal sp. RNAcentral describes it as "partial internal transcribed spacer region". The stretch from base 1 to 46 matches the Rfam family "Eukaryotic small subunit ribosomal RNA", at positions 1786 to 1831 of the family's 1831-position model. The record is from RNAcentral. Lineage: Eukaryota; Fungi.